Molecule: ribosomal RNA, 440 nt
Filed under: uncultured bacterium
Lineage: Bacteria
Description: partial 16S ribosomal RNA
Rfam family: Bacterial small subunit ribosomal RNA
Source: RNAcentral
CCUACGGGAGGCAGCAGUGGGGAAUAUUGCACAAUGGGGGAAACCCUGAUGCAGCGACGCCGCGUGGGUGAAGAAGCGCCUCGGCGCGUAAAGCCCUGUCAGCAGGGAAGAAAAUGACGGUACCUGACGAAGAAGCCCCGGCUAACUACGUGCCAGCAGCCGCGGUAAUACGUAGGGGGCAAGCGUUAUCCGGAUUUACUGGGUGUAAAGGGGGCGCAGACGGCGAUGCAAGCCAGGAGUGAAAGCCCGGGGCCCAACCCCGGGACUGCUCUUGGAACUGCGUGGCUGGAGUGCAGGAGGGGCAGGCGGAAUUCCUGGUGUAGCGGUGAAAUGCGUAGAUAUCAGGAGGAACACCGGUGGCGAAGGCGGCCUGCUGGACUGCAACUGACGUUGAGGCCCGAAAGCGUGGGGAGCAAACAGGAUUAGAUACCCGUGUAGUC